GGCCUCUAACCACAAUGGGAGGCACCUGAGAUUAGAGGUGUCUGACCCUUUAAAUGCUGGAAGCCUGAGUUAUGGGGUUGUUGUUGUUCCUCUUUCUCCUCUUUUUUCCUUUCCUGUUUUGCCUGUUUCUGCUGCUACCAUUCUGUGAUCUUCAAUAAACAUAGCUGCUUACUACAUACCACAAGGUGUUUGUUUGACAAUUCUUUCCUCGUGGUACACAAGAGCCUGGACUAUUUUUGGCCCAUUUAACAGGAUUACGAAUGAGUCCAACUUAACAUUCUUCUGGAACAGAACUCGUUGGUAAGUCAGGACUUACUUACCUUUGUAAAUAUUCCCUUCUUGAAAAGUCUAUCAGAAAUCUCAGAUCACCACUUACUCAUACAACAAGUAGCAAAAUUCAUAUUGUACUGCUCUUAAAGUCAGAGUGACUGGACUCUAGGGCUUGGAGCAACCACUUUUCUGUGCAGCUAUGAAGAAAUCAGGGGUCCAUUCCAACUAAAAACUCGUGAAGAACUCAAAGAAAAAAUUUACACCUCCCCCCUUUUCAGGUAUGUCCAAAGGAAGAGAUGAAUUAAAGCCCCCCAAGGAGAUAAUACUCAGGCCCAAAGGACAUGGGAGCUACUUUGCAAUCUAGUCCUCUUAUUGACCUUCUAAUGUGAAGAAUCAAGAACAAUUAGGAAUGAACAACAUUCUGUUCUUGGCCAUGUGGAAGACAUUGAAUCACUGCUAGCCAAGUCCUGGAACAAUCCCCACUCUUUGGUGAUUCAAAUGUACCUACAAUUACAACUGCUCCCAGUGCAGUGGUAGGGGCCUCCAGGCUGCUGUUCCACCCCUCCUGGUGCAGAGGAAUGGGCCCCCUGGCUGCCAUUCCACCACUCCUAGCCCAGAGGUAGAGGCUUCUGGGCUGCUGUUCCACC
Molecule: long non-coding RNA, 917 nt
Filed under: Heterocephalus glaber (naked mole-rat)
Lineage: Eukaryota; Metazoa; Chordata; Mammalia; Rodentia; Bathyergidae
Description: lncRNA (ENSHGLG00000033512.1)
Source: RNAcentral